GACAGAGGUCUCAAGCGUUAGGCGGAAUCACUGGGCUUAAAGCGUGUGUAGGCGGAUCGUUAAGUGCCUUGUGAAAUCCCACGGCUCAACCGUGGAACUGCUUGGCAUACUGGCGGUCUUGAGCCAUCUAGGGGUCGCUGGAACAAACGGUGGAGCGGUGAAAUGCGUAGAUAUCGUUUGGAACGCCAAUGGUGAAAACAGGCGACUGGGGAUGUGCUGACGCUGAGACACGAAAGCCAGGGGAGCAAACGGG
Molecule: ribosomal RNA, 253 nt
Filed under: uncultured prokaryote
Description: partial 16S ribosomal RNA
Rfam family: Bacterial small subunit ribosomal RNA
Source: RNAcentral